UCUUUUGUGGGGUAGCAGGAAGAGGGAGUGCCAGAGAGCUGUACUCUAACGGCCCCUGGAUUCUGGCCUGAGCCACUGUGGGCAUGUGGCUGCAUUUCUAGAAUCAAAGGGUACAUCUGUGACUGAAAAUCUUUCUUAUACAAAGCAAAUUGCAAACUGGCACCAGAAUGGCCAGAUUCCAUGGGAAAAAAAGCCUCCAAAUAACACAGUCUUGGUGCCGUGACACGAAUGGCAACGCCCAGCUGAGAGUACCGAUGGGCUUGCGGACCGUUCCCCUCCAAAACCCCAGGUGCCAAAUGAAGGUCCAAGAAGCUUUACCCAGAGAGCCUGAAGAAGCCUGCCAUUCCUUACAGCCAGGAAAUUAGAUUCAUGUAAAAAUCCACCAAAGAAAAUCAGCUUUAGAACCUCGCUGGAAAGGUCCAUUCCAAGUUCUUCUCACCACUAAGACUGCAGUAAAGUAUUGGAGACUAUCUGCUUGGAUCCACACAUCGCACUGCAAAAAGACUGUUCCUCCUGACGAAACCAAGGAUUAAAGAUUAAGACUCCAAGAAAAGAGCCCAUUAAUAACCAAACAUGGAGUCCCUCCUAUAGGCUAUUUGUAUUGAACUUUUAAACCUGGGCUAUGAGAAUGUGUUUUUGUCUUUAAUUAACCAAAUUAAGAUAGACUUAAAUGUCUCUCAUUGUUGGAUAUGUAGUCAUGUCCCUAUCCAUUCUACCGAAGGGAUACCCAUGAUACCAGUACCCUUGAAUGCAACCCAAAUGUCAGCUCCUUAUUGUUCACCCUUUCAUAGAAAUGAAACUUGGCAAGAUAUAAAUUGUAACCAAGCUGACUAUGUACAACUAGCGUAUACCACCCCUGGAAAGUUUUGUUAGACCUGUAAUAGAUCUCAUGUUGUAGUAGGAGUCAGUAAGUGUAAAGUGGAAUUUAAGGUAAAUGGUGCUUAGCUCUCUAAUGGUUCCUAGAUACCUGGUUAUUCUCCCAUUUUGGCUAGAUAUUUAGGUUAUUAUUCAGUAUGAAUAUUAAAACAAGUUUGUAACUUUUCAGUUA
Alligator mississippiensis (American alligator) is the source of this 1048-nucleotide long non-coding RNA. RefSeq lists it as uncharacterized. The transcript is spliced from 4 exons. Lineage: Eukaryota; Metazoa; Chordata; Crocodylia; Alligatoridae. The record is from RefSeq and is a predicted model, not a curated record.